Salmo salar (Atlantic salmon) is the source of this 54-nucleotide non-coding RNA. NCBI's taxonomy places the organism in Eukaryota, Metazoa, Chordata, Actinopteri, Salmoniformes, Salmonidae. The record is from Rfam.
UGCACUCACUACUGUAAGUCGCUCUGGAUAAAAGCAUCUGCUAAAUGACUAAAA